This 1285-nucleotide long non-coding RNA is filed under the name Anser brachyrhynchus (Pink-footed goose). RNAcentral describes it as "lncRNA (ENSABRG00000004953.1)". Lineage: Eukaryota; Metazoa; Chordata; Aves; Anseriformes; Anatidae. The record is from RNAcentral.
CCUUUCCAGUUGCACUUACAGCUCUGCCAUAGCUUGAAAAUUUUGAAAAACUAGAGACCAGAUCUAUUCUGCAGUGCUUGAAAGGACAACAUAUCCCAGAGCAACCUCCCCAAACUGCUUGCAAAUCAGUUGUUAAAAAUCUGUUCGAAGAGAAGAAACAACUUUAUUUUCCCUAUUUAAGUGCUCCACAGCCUCCCCUUUCCCCUGUAUGCCCUGUGCCAGUCUGCGGGAGCACUCAGGCUUCUGGAACAGGAGACAGCCCUGGCCACUAACCCACCUCUGCUGGGUGUUCAGCAGCACACGGCCUAUCAAUUCGCAACAAAUGCACAGAAUAUUUGGAAAACAAGGCUUUGCAUUUCAGGUAAAAUGAUGUGUUUUUAAAAACUGUAUUUCAAUCAGAGAUUUUGCUUAAGAAACAAGCAACCAGCAAAGCUGCUUCCCUCAGCAGGGGAAAAAUCAAAAGUUUAUGACACUGUUUCUAUUUUUCGACUAAUAUAUAAAGCUGUCAGGGUAAUGCACAGCUGAAUAAUGACAAUUAAUCCAUUAGGCUUCAGUUUAUUCAAAACCAUAGAAUUAUACUGUGGCAAUCCAUGACUUUUUAGCUAGCAAGAGGUCUCCAUGGUGUCAGCAGCUAUUUGCAGUGCUACAUCCUUCAGAAGCUGCUGCCCAUUGCAGCCCCCAGCUUCCUGGAAAAUCUCCUGCAAAGCCAGCAGUUAGGCAUCACCUAGGCCUUUCUUAGGCUUAAUGUAGUCAGACCUAUCUUAGCAGAAAACCAUUGUACCCAGCUAAAACAGGUUGUUUUACUUCUACAAUAGGUGUUGUUUGUUUGUUUGUUUUAAUAACUGUUCACACAAUUAAUGCAAUCAAUCAAUGCAUUUUUUUGCCAUUUUGUAAACUUGCAAGAGACAGUAGUAUAAAAAAAUGUCAAAUCAGAACAUGCAGAAUAGCUAUGGAACGGUGAGAGCUGUUUGCAGAGCCAUCCAUGUAACAGCUGACACCUGUACUCAAGAAAAACCAAAAUAUUUUCCUUCCUGGGAUUGUAGGUAUAUGUGAUUUAUUGAGAGUUUUUCCUCCAGUAAUAUGGAAAGAGAUAACACUUCAGCUAUUGUGUAUUAAUGUACUUUGCUAUUUUAUCAUAAAAAUGUUACUGCUGUAUAUGCAAUAAGAUUUUAUGUGCAAUAUGUACCGUUCCUACAGCAGAUGCUUUUAAGACUCCGUUUUUCACUUAGGAAAUUUUCAAAAAUUAUAUCUGCAAUUAUUUUUUAUGAAAAAAACCUUGAAGUCA